CAGCGGUUAGGAGCUUACACCCACCCGUGUCUACAUACUAUUGUUGCUUUGGCGGGCCGUGGCCUCCACUGCGGGCUCUGCUCGUGUGUGCCCGCCAGAGAACCAAACUCUGAAUGUUAGUGAUGUCUGAGUACUAUCUAAUAGUUAAAACUUUCAACAACGGAUCUCUUGGUUCUGGCAUCGAUGAAGAACGCAGCGAAAUGCGAUAAGUAAUGUGAAUUGCAGAAUUCAGUGAAUCAUCGAAUCUUUGAACGCACAUUGCGCCCUGUGGUAUUCCGCAGGGCAUGCCUGUUCGAGCGUCAUUUAACCACUCACGCCUAGCGUGGUAUUGGGGCACGCGGUCUCCGCGGCCCUCAAAAUCAGUGGCGGCGCCGGUGGGCUCUAAGCGUAGUACAUACUCCCGCUAUAGAGUUCCCCCGGUGGCUCGCCAGAACCCCCAAUUUUUACAGGUUGACCUCGGAUCAGGUAGGGAUACCCGCUGAACUUAAGCAUAUCA
RNAcentral lists this ribosomal RNA (496 nucleotides) under Ascomycota sp. CJL-2014. RNAcentral describes it as "eukaryotic LSU rRNA". The stretch from base 149 to 302 matches the Rfam family "5.8S ribosomal RNA". The record is from RNAcentral. Lineage: Eukaryota; Fungi; Ascomycota.